UGAGGAAUAUUGGUCAAUGGGCGAGAGCCUGAACCAGCCAAGUAGCGUGCAGGAAGACGGCCCUAUGGGUUGUAAACUGCUUUUAUGCGGGGAUAAAGUGAGGGACGUGUCCUUCAUUGCAGGUACCGCAUGAAUAAGGACCGGCUAAUUCCGUGCCAGCAGCCGCGGUAAUACGGAAGGUCCGGGCGUUAUCCGGAUUUAUUGGGUUUAAAGGGAGCGUAGGCCGUGGAUUAAGCAUGUUGUGAAAUGCAGGUGCUCAACGUCUGCACUGCAGCGCGAACUGGUUCACUUGAGUGUGCACAACGCAGGCGGAAUUCGUCGUGUAGCGGUGAAAUGCUUAGAUAUGACGAAGAACUCCGAUUGCGGAGGCAGCUUGCGGGAGCACAACUGACGCUGAAGCUCGAAAGUGCGGGUAUCGAACAGGAUUAGAUACCCUGGUAGUCCGCACGGUAAACGAUGGAUGCCCGUUGUCAGGCUGUUUCAGUCUGGUGACCAAGCGAAAGCAUUAAGCAUCCCACCUGGGGAGUACGCCGGCAACGGUG
RNAcentral lists this ribosomal RNA (542 nucleotides) under uncultured bacterium. RNAcentral's name for it is "bacterial SSU rRNA". It matches the Rfam family "Bacterial small subunit ribosomal RNA", at positions 355 to 896 of the family's 1533-position model. The record is from RNAcentral.